ACUUCUCAUCUGCAGUCCAAGAAUUUUUCCGUCGCUUUUAAUAAAAAUUUUAUUUUCAGACGUUCAUACUAAAAUUUUAUACUACAAAAUAAUUAAUACUAUUAAAAUUUUUAUAUGAUAUAGCCGAUCAUUAAUUUAAAAUUUUCGUCGUUCAGAAAAUAAAAGAAAAAACAAAAACAAAAGUAAAAUGAAAACACAGAAAAAGACAAACUCAGCUAAAAUUAUGAAGCAACUAUACCUGAAUUUUGACUUUAGGAGUAGUAGGAAUAGUCACCUUUUACCUCGCCUUUUGGGUUACUCUUCGGUACAAUCCAGUCGGUGUGGUUUUUCGUUUUCUUCUUUUCUGUCCUUUGUUUUGUUUGUUUUCUUUCCUGGUUCCUCGCCCGCUUAGAAGGCCCUAGCUGCCUUCAUUUUGUACGCUAAAUUCAUUUUUCUUAAUGAAUGAAGCAGGUAGCUUGCUACCUUUCUCUCAAAAAAAAAAACUAUACCUGAAUUUUAAACUUCGUAUACUAACCAUCGGAUUCUAAAUAAACUGUAUU
Molecule: long non-coding RNA, 539 nt
Filed under: Ananas comosus (pineapple)
Lineage: Eukaryota; Viridiplantae; Streptophyta; Magnoliopsida; Poales; Bromeliaceae
Description: long non-coding RNA (ACOM_LNC027256)
Source: RNAcentral